Molecule: ribosomal RNA, 425 nt
Filed under: uncultured cyanobacterium
Lineage: Bacteria; Bacillati; Cyanobacteriota
Description: bacterial SSU rRNA
Rfam family: Bacterial small subunit ribosomal RNA
Source: RNAcentral
UGGGGAAUUUUCCGCAAUGGGCGAAAGCCUGACGGAGCAACGCCGCGUGAGGGAUGAAGGCCUCUGGGCUGUAAAACUCUUUUAUCAAGGAAGAAGAUCUGACGGUACUUGAUGAAUAAGCCACGGCUAAUUCCGUACCAGCAGCCGCGGUAAUACGGGAGUCGCAAGCGUUAUCCGGAAUUAUUGGGCGUAAAGCGUCCGCAGGCGGCCUCUUAAGUCUGUCGUUAAAGCGUGGAGCUUAACUCCAUUUCGGCGAUGGAAACUGUGAGGCUUGAGUGUGGUAAGGGCAGAGGGAAUUCCCGGUGUAGCGGUGAAAUGCGUAGAUAUCGGGAAGAACACCAGUGGCGAAGGCGCUCUGCUGGGCCAUAACUGACGCUCAUGGACGAAAGCCAGGGGAGCGAAAGGGAUUAGAUACCCCUGUAGUC